Molecule: ribosomal RNA, 383 nt
Filed under: uncultured bacterium
Lineage: Bacteria
Description: bacterial SSU rRNA
Rfam family: Bacterial small subunit ribosomal RNA
Source: RNAcentral
UUGAACGCUGGCGGCAGGCCUAACACAUGCAAGUCGAGCGGAUGAGUGGAGCUUGCUCCAUGAUUCAGCGGCGGACGGGUGAGUAAUGCCUAGGAAUCUGCCUAUUAGUGGGGGACAACGUUUCGAAAGGAACGCUAAUACCGCAUACGUCCUACGGGAGAAAGCAGGGGACCGCAAGGCCUUGCGCGGACGGAGCGGCCGAUGGCAGAUUAGGUAGUUGGUGGGAUAAAAGCUUACCAAGCCGACGAUCUGUAGCUGGUCUGAGAGGACGACCAGCCACACUGGGACUGAGACACGGCCCAGACUCCUACGGGAGGCAGCAGUGGGGAAUUUUGGACAAUGGGCGAAAGCCUGAUCCAGCCAUGCCGCGUGCAGGAUGAAGG